GAUGAACGCUGGCGGCGUGCCUAAUACAUGCAAGUCGAGCGAACAGACGAGGAGCUUGCUCCUCUGACGUUAGCGGCGGACGGGUGAGUAACACGUGGAUAACCUACCUAUAAGACUGGGAUAACUUCGGGAAACCGGAGCUAAUACCGGAUAAUAUAUUGAACCGCAUGGUUCAAUAGUGAAAGACGGUUUUGCUGUCACUUAUAGAUGGAUCCGCGCCGCAUUAGCUAGUUGGUAAGGUAACGGCUUACCAAGGCAACGAUGCGUAGCCGACCUGAGAGGGUGAUAGGCCACACGGGAACUGAGACACGGUCCAGACUCCUACGGGAGGCAGCAGUAGGGAAUGUUCCGCAAUGGGCGAAAGCCUGACGGAGCAACGCCGCGUGAGUGAUGAAGGUCUUCGGAUCGUAAAACUCUGUUAUUAGGGAAGAACAAAUGUGUAAGUAACUAUGCACGUCUUGACGGUACCUAAUCAGAAAGCCACGGCUAACUACGUG
This 497-nucleotide ribosomal RNA is filed under the name uncultured bacterium. RNAcentral describes it as "partial 16S ribosomal RNA". It matches the Rfam family "Bacterial small subunit ribosomal RNA", at positions 28 to 507 of the family's 1533-position model. The record is from RNAcentral.